Molecule: transfer RNA, 71 nt
Filed under: Marmota monax (woodchuck)
Lineage: Eukaryota; Metazoa; Chordata; Mammalia; Rodentia; Sciuridae
Description: tRNA.Ala
Rfam family: tRNA
About the family: Transfer RNA (tRNA) molecules are approximately 80 nucleotides in length.
Source: RNAcentral
GGGGAUGUGGCUCAGUGGUAGAGUGCUUGCCUAGCAUGCAUGAGGCACUGGGUUUGAUCCUCAGCACCACA